This 460-nucleotide ribosomal RNA is filed under the name uncultured bacterium. Its description in RNAcentral is "partial 16S ribosomal RNA". It matches the Rfam family "Bacterial small subunit ribosomal RNA", at positions 338 to 795 of the family's 1533-position model. The record is from RNAcentral.
CCUACGGGCGGCAGCAGUGAGGAAUAUUGGUCAAUGGACGAGAGCCUGAACCAGCCAAGUAGCGUGAAGGAUGACUGCCCUAUGGGUUGUAAACUUCUUUUAUAUGGGAAUAAAAUGUUCCACGUGUGGGAUUUUGUAUGUACCAUAUGAAUAAGGAUCGGCUAACUCCGUGCCAGCAGCCGCGGUAAUACGGAGGAUCCGAGCGUUAUCCGGAUUUAUUGGGUUUAAAGGGAGCGUAGGUGGGUUGUUAAGUCAGUUGUGAAAGUUUGCGGCUCAACCGUAAAAUUGCAGUUGAAACUGGCAGUCUUGAGUACAGUAGAGGUAGGCGGAAUUCGUGGUGUAGCGGUGAAAUGCUUAGAUAUCACGAAGAACUCCGAUUGCGAAGGCAGCUCACUGGACUGCAACUGACAUUGAGGCUCGAAAGUGUGGGUAUCAAACAGGAUUAGAUACCCCAGUAGUC